Molecule: small RNA, 4586 nt
Filed under: Pan troglodytes (chimpanzee)
Lineage: Eukaryota; Metazoa; Chordata; Mammalia; Primates; Hominidae
Description: processed transcript
Source: RNAcentral
CUCCCUUGUUUCUAUAAUUCUCUGUCGCAAAUGCAUGUUAUUUCUGCUGUUGUUAUCACAGCUAAAGAGUUUCUUGCCCAGCCUGAAUGAAUUGUGUCUGAAUCCUGAAACUAGGACCCAGGUCAUAGAGACCAGGAGCUGCCAGAAAAGGAAAUAUUAUUUCUUAUUAUCAUCAUAACCAGUGUCAUCAUCAUCAACACUCACUGAGCCUUCACCAGGUUCCAGGCUCUGUGCUAAAUGUUUAAUAGGCAACAUCUCAUUUAAUUAUUAAGAUAAACCUGUGAGGAUAAAUUUUAAGCUAUUGUAUCCCCUAUUUGCGGAAAAGAAACUGAGGUUUAGAGAAAUGAAGUAACUAGCUUGCAGACACACAGCUAGCCAGGGUAAAGCCAGGUUGAAGCAUGGUCCUCUCUAACUCUUCACAUUAGUCUGAUACGUGAUGACAUUUUCUCAUCCAUUGUGGCCACUUUUUAACACAACAUUUUAGUUUUUAGUAAUUUGUUAUUCUGAAAGAACACAUGAAUGUUUGUGAUGAAAAAAAUCAAAUAAUACAAAAGGGCCAAUAUUGAAAAGUAAAGGUCUCUUUCUACCUGCUCAUAUCACUUCUUACGCACAUAUUCUCCAGACAUAAUCACUGUUAAUUGUUUCAUGUGUAUGCUUCUAGAAAUAAUCUACAAACCUAAAGGUAUACAAUUUUUAGAAAGCUAGAAUAAUAUUACACAUAUAGUUAUGCCAGUUGCAUUUUUUAACUUAAAAUACAUCCUGACUUUUGUUUAAGAAAUGCAUCUUGGAUAUCAUUCAUGUUUCAUUACCCAAUCCAGUAGGUUGUCUCUAAUUUUUAGCUCUUGUAAAAAUGCUACAAUAGAAAUUCUUGUAGAAAUAUAUUGGCAUAUUUUAUGUCAGUAUCCCUAAAGGAGAUGGCCCUAGAAGUAGGACUUGAACUCCUGGGCUCAAGUAAUCCUCCUGCCUCAUACUCCCAAAUCGCUGGGAUUACAGGUGUGAGCCACUACACCUGGCCCACUAGAAGCAGAUUUGUUGGGUCAAAGUUUAUGUGCACUUUAAAUUUUGUAGAUAUUGCCAAGUUGCCAUUCAAGGAAGUGUGUUAAAUUUGUAUUAACACCAAGGGCAUAUGUAGGUGCCUGUUUGUCUACAAGCUAAUCAGUAUGAUCAGUCUAUUUAAGCUUUGCCAACCUGAAAAAUAGAAAAAAGAAUAGUAUUGUAUGGUUGUCUUUGUGUUUAGUUAAUUAGUGAUGAAGAUGAGAAUCUUUUUAUAUAUUUAUUGUCUAUUUGAAGUUUUCAGUGAUUUAUACACUUUUUACAGUUUUCUAUUGGAUAUUUUUGUACCCUGAAAACUAUUAGCAGGUCAAAGUAAUUAGCUUUAUCAUCUAUGUUUUAAUCUACUUUCCAAGAUUGAGAUAUGACUUUUUACAUUUGUUUAUGAUACCUUUUGUUUCGUACAAAUAUGUUAGAAGCAGAAACUGCUGUUGACUUUUUGUUCUCUUUCAGUUCCGGUGUCUCGCCCCGUCCUCACCCUCAGGGCUCCCGGGGCCCAUACUGCGGUGGGGGACCUGCUGGAGCUUCACUGUGAGGCCCUGAGAGGCUCUCCCCUGAUCCUGUACCGGUUUUUUCAUGAGGAUGUCACCCUAGGAAAUAGCUCGUCCCCCUCUGGAGGAGCGUCCUUCAACCUCUCUCUGACUGCAGAACACUCUGGAAACUACUCCUGUGAGGCCGACAAUGGCCUCGGGGCCCAGCGCAGUGAGACAGUGACACUUUAUAUCACUGGGUCUCCCCCUCAGGGCUGACCGCGAACAGAAGUGGCCCUUUUGCCACAGGAGUCGCCGGGGGCCUGCUCAGCAUAGCAGGCCUUGCUGCGGGGGCACUGCUGCUCUACUGCUGGCUCUCGAGAAAAGCAGGGAGAAAGCCUGCCUCUGACCCCGCCAGGAGCCCUUCAGACUCGGACUCCCAAGAGCCCACCUAUCACAAUGUACCAGCCUGGGAAGAGCUGCAACCAGUGUACACUAAUGCAAAUCCUAGAGGAGAAAAUGUGGUUUACUCAGAAGUACGGAUCAUCCAAGAGAAAAAGAAACAUGCAGUGGCCUCUGACCCCAGGCAUCUCAGGAACAAGGUGAGUCUCCCCUUCUGCAUGCCCUCCCGCACCCCCAGGCCCACCCUGGUCCUCACGCAUGUGCUCUUGCCUCCUAGGGUUCCCCUAUCAUCUACUCUGAAGUUAAGGUGGCAUCAACCCCGGUUUCCGGAUCCCUGUUCUUGGCUUCCUCAGCUCCUCACAGAUGAGUCCAUACGUCUCUCCAACUGCUGUUUCAGCCUCUGCACCCCAAAGUUCCCCUUGGGGGAGAAGCAGCAUUGAAGUGGGAAGAUUUAGGCUGCCCCAGACCAUAUCUACUGGCCUUUGUUUCACAUGUCCUCAUUCUCAGUCUGACCAGAAUGCAGGGCCCUGCUGGACUGUCACCUAUUUCCCAGUUACAGCCCAGACUGGCAGGUUUUUUAAUCCAGUGGCAAGGUGCUCCCACUCCAGGGCCCAGCACAUCUCCUGGAUUCCUUAGUGGGCUUCAGCUGUGGUUGCUAUUCUGAGUACUGCUCUCAUCACACCCCCACAGAGGGGGUCUUACCACACAAAGGGAGAAUGGGCCUUCAGGAGAUGCUGGGCUGGCCUAACAGCUCAGGUGCUCCUAAACUCCGACACAGAGUUCCUGCUUUGGGUGGAUGCAUUUCUCAAUUGUCAUCAGCCUGGUGGGGUUACUGCAGUGUGCUGCCAAAUGGGACAGCACACAGCCUGUGCACAUGGGACAUGUAAUGGGUCUCCCCACGGGGGCUGUAUUUCACACUCCUCCACCUGUCUCAAACUCUAAGGUCGGCACUUGACACCAAGGUAACUUCUCUCCUGCUCAUGUGUCAGUGUCUACCUGCCCAAGUAAGUGGCUUUCAUACACCAAGUCCCAAGUACUUCCCAUCCUAACAGAAGUAACCCAGCAAGUCAAGGCCAGGAGGACCAGGGGUGCAGACAGAACACAUACUGGAACACAGGAGGUGCUCAAUUACUAUUUGACUGACUGAAUGAAUGAAUGAAUGAAUGAGGAAGAAAACUGUGGGUAAUCAAACUGGCAUAAAAUCCAGUGCGCUCCCUAGGAAAUCCGGGAGGUAUUCUGGCUUCCCUAAGAAACAAUGGAAGAGAAGGAACUUGGAUGAGGAAACUGUUCAGCAAGAGGAAGGGCUUCUCACACUUUCGUGUGUUUGUGGAUCACCUGAGGAUCCUGUGAAAAUACAGAUACUGAUUCAGUGGGUCUGUGUAGAGCCUGAGACUGCCAUUCUAACAUGUUCCCAGGGGAUGCUGAUGCUGCUGGUCCUGGGACCGCACUGCAUGCAUGUGAGGCCCUGUAGGUCUCAGCAGAGGCCCAUGGAGAGGCAAUGUGUGGCUCUGGCUGCCCAGGGCCCAACUCGGUUCACACGGAUCGUGCUGCUCCCUGGCCAGCCUUUGGCCACAGCACCACCAGCUGCUGUUGCUGAGAGAGCUUCUUCUCUGUGACAUGUUGGCUUUCAUCAGCCACCCUGGGAAGCGGAAAGUAGCUGCCACUAUCUUUGUUUCCCCACCUCAGGCCUCACACUUUCCCAUGAAAAGGGUGAAUGUAUAUAACCUGAGCCCUCUCCAUUCAGAGUUGUUCUCCCAUCUCUGAGCAAUGGGAUGUUCUGUUCCGCUUUUAUGAUAUCCAUCACAUCUUAUCUUGAUCUUUGCUCCCAGUGGAUUGUACAGUGAUGACUUUUAAGCCCCACGGCCCUGAAAUAAAAUCCUUCCAAGGGCAUUGGAAGCUCACUCCACCUGCCACAUGGCUUUUCAUGCUUCCAAGUGUCAGGGCCUUGCCCAGAUAGACAGGGCUGGCUCUGCUGCCCCAACCUUUCAAGGAGGAAACCAGACACCUGAGACAGGAGCCUGUAUGCAGCCCAGUGCAGCCUUGCAGAGCACAAGGCUGGAGGCAUUUGUCAUCACUACAGAUAUGCAACUAAAAUAGACGUGGAGCAAGAGAAAUGCAUUCCCACCGAGGCCGCUUUUUUAGGCCUAGUUGAAAGUCAAGAAGGACAGCAGCAAGCAUAGGCUCAGGAUUAAAGAAAAAAAUCUGCUCACAGUCUGUUCUGGAGGUCACAUCACCAACAAAGCUCACGCCCUAUGCAGUUCUGAGAAGGUGGAGGCACCAGGCUCAAAAGAGGAAAUUUAGAAUUUCUCAUUGGGAGAGUAAGGUCCCCCCGUCCCAGAAUGAUAACGGCACAGUGGCAGAACAAACUCCACCCUAACGUGGGUGGACCUCGUCCAGUCUGUUGAAGGCCUGAAUAUAACAAAAGGGCUUAUUCUUCCUCAAGUAAGGGGGAACUCCUGCUUUGGGCUGGGACAUAAGUUUUUCUGCUUUCAGACGCAAACUGAAAAAUGGCUCUUCUUGGGUCUUGAGCUUGCUGGCAUAUGGACUGAAAGAAACUACGCUAUUGGAUCUCCUGGAUCUCCAGCUUGCUGACUGCAGAUCUUGAGAUAUGUCAGCCUCUACAGUCACAAGAGCUAAUUCAUUCUAAUAAACCAAUCUCUCUGU